AGUGAACGCUGGCGGUAGGCCUAACACAUGCAAGUCGAACGGCAGCACAGUAAGAGCUUGCUCUUACGGGUGGCGAGUGGCAGACGGGUGAGGAAUACAUCGGAAUCUACUUUUUCGUGGGGGAUAACGUAGGGAAACUUACGCUAAUACCGCAUACGACCUACGGGUGAAAGCAGGGGAUCUUCGGACCUUGCGCGAUUGAAUGAGCCGAUGUCGGAUUAGCUGGUUGGCGGGGUAAAGGCCCACCAAGGCGACGAUCCGUAGCUGGUCUGAGAGGAUGAUCAGCCACACUGGAACUGAGACACGGUCCAGAGUCCUACGGGAGGCACCAGUGUGCAAUAUUGGACAAUGGGCGCAAGCCUGAUCCAGCCAUCCCGCGUGGGUGAAGAAGGCGUUCGGGUUGUCAAGCCCUUUUGUGGGGAAAGAAAAGCAGCAGGUUAAUACCCCGCUGUUCUGACGGUACCCAAAGAAUAAGCACCGGCUAACUUCGUG
This 492-nucleotide ribosomal RNA is filed under the name uncultured bacterium. RNAcentral describes it as "partial 16S ribosomal RNA". It matches the Rfam family "Bacterial small subunit ribosomal RNA", at positions 29 to 507 of the family's 1533-position model. The record is from RNAcentral.